Molecule: long non-coding RNA, 191 nt
Organism: Rhodamnia argentea
Lineage: Eukaryota; Viridiplantae; Streptophyta; Magnoliopsida; Myrtales; Myrtaceae
Exons: 4
Source: RefSeq, a predicted model, not a curated record
UUUCAACUCGAUAUUCGCAGCAAAGGUAGACUUCUAUCGGUCGAGGUGUCGGGAAACUCAUAAACAUAGCCUCCGUCUGCCUAAACUAUAGAUCGUCCACGUACUGGACUGCCCUUAGGAGUAAUGGAUUAAUCGACGCAAAGGAAAGUGCAAGUAUUCUCAAGAAAGUAUCAUGGUAUAGUCAAAUUCCA